Pogoniulus pusillus (Red-fronted tinkerbird) is the source of this 866-nucleotide long non-coding RNA. RefSeq lists it as uncharacterized. NCBI's taxonomy places the organism in Eukaryota, Metazoa, Chordata, Aves, Piciformes, Lybiidae. The transcript has 2 exons. The record is from RefSeq and is a predicted model, not a curated record.
AACUGGGCAGAGGGAUCCUCCACCCCUCGUCACUGGCUCCCUUCAGGUGCUGGAAGAUUACUAUAAGGUUUCCCUGGAGCCUUCUUUUCUUCAGGUUGAGCAGGCCCAGCUCUCUCAGCCUGUCCCCAUAAUGGAGGUGCUCCAGCCCUUUGAUCAUCUUCCUGGCCUUCCUCUGGACCCACUCCAGCAGUUCAGUGUCUCUGUUAUGUUGAAGGCACCAGAACUGAAUGCAGUACUCUAGGUGAGGUCUCAUGAGAGCAGAGUAGACAGAGGAGAAUGACUUCAUUUGUCCUGCUGGUCACACUUCUUUUGAUGCAGACUGGGACACAGUUGGCUUUUGAGUUGCAAAAGCACAGUGCUGGCUGGUGUUGAGAUUUUUUUGUUGUCUGACACCCCCAGGAUUGCUCAUGUCUCCUAAAUAUGCUCUCUUUCUUACUUUUGACUUGCUAGGUGUAUUUUUUACUAAUGGAAAAAAAAGUCUCAUCAGCAAAUGUGGAAGUAAACCAGCUCAUGCAAAUAAAGUCCUGAAAAUCUAGUUACACCAUUGUGCAAUGUAUUAGAAAUGAAAGCAAAAUUACUGUGAAUGUGGGAAAAACAAUUACACAAUUCUACCACAGCUUUACAACACGAGAAUCGGUGCUUAAAUUAGAAGAGGCAACUGAAGAAGUUUGAAUGUGCAUCUGUAAUACUGAGAGGCUAUUAUGCUCUUUGCAGAACUGCAUUGUGAGGCAUAACACAGAAAUAGAUAGUCAGUUACACGUGUAUUGAAAUAUUUUCUGGUUUAAAACAUCCAUCUCAAAGUGUUUGUUUCUAUUAAAGGUGUUGUUUUUUUUUCUGGUAGAAUAAAUUUUUGAGUUUGGACUGAA